Molecule: unclassified non-coding RNA, 154 nt
Filed under: soil metagenome
Description: partial internal transcribed spacer 1
Source: RNAcentral
CAAGUGACCCCGGUCUAACCACCGGGAUGUUCAUAACCCUUUGUUGUCCGACUCUGUUGCCUCCGGGGCGACCCUGCCUCGGGCGGGGGCUCCGGGUGGACACUUCAAACUCUUGCGUAACUUUGCAGUCUGAGUAAACUUAAUUAAUAAAUUA